RNAcentral lists this ribosomal RNA (614 nucleotides) under uncultured soil bacterium. Its description in RNAcentral is "bacterial SSU rRNA". It matches the Rfam family "Bacterial small subunit ribosomal RNA", at positions 27 to 620 of the family's 1533-position model. The record is from RNAcentral.
GAAUCAACGCUGGCGGCGUGCCUAACACAUGCAAGUCGAACGCGAAAGUCCCGCAAGGGAUCAGUAGAGUGGCAAACGGGUGAGUAACGCGUGGGUGACCUGCCUUCGAGCGGGGGAUAACGUCCCGAAAGGGGCGCUAAUACCGCAUAACAUCCUGCUUUUGAAGAGGUGGAGAUCAAAGCUGGGGAUCGCAAGACCUAGCACUCGAAGAGGGGCCCGCGUCCGAUUAGCUAGUUGGUGAGGUAACGGCUCACCAAGGCUCCGAUCGGUAUCCGGCCUGAGAGGGCGGACGGACACACUGGGACUGAGACACGGCCCAGACUCCUACGGGAGGCAGCAGUGGGGAAUUGUUCGCAAUGGGCGCAAGCCUGACGACGCAACGCCGCGUGGAGGAUGAAGAUCUUCGGGUCGUAAACUCCUUUCGAUCGAGACGAACGGCUUCCGGGUGAACAAUCCGGGAGAGUGACGGUACCGAGAGAAGAAGCCCCGGCUAACUCCGUGCCAGCAGCCGCGGUAAUACGGGGGGGGCAAGCGUUGUUCGGAAUUACUGGGCGUAAAGGGCUCGUAGGUGGCCAUCUAAGUCAGACGUGAAAUCCCUCGGCUUAACCGGGGAA